Homo sapiens (human) is the source of this 405-nucleotide long non-coding RNA. Lineage: Eukaryota; Metazoa; Chordata; Mammalia; Primates; Hominidae. The record is from Ensembl.
AGACCGAAUUCAGAAGGAUAUCGACGUCGUGAUCCAGAAGUCCAGAGCUGAGGACUGCCUGUUUGCAGAUUUCAGAUACUCAGACUCCACCUUUACUUUUACCUAUGUUGGCGGCCCCAGAAGCUUUAAAUCAUCUAGGAACUUCAUAUAAAAUUUAAUUCCAGUUUCAACUAGUUGUGGAGCAUUUGAUCCAAAAUAAAAUGAAAGUCCUCUCUGAAGUUGUAGAGGAGACUCAAGAAUCAGAACAACCUGAAGUUCUUUAAGCUGUCAGUUGAAGGACUAGGUUUGACUACAAUGCAGUGUGAAUAUCGCACAUGGGACCAUUUGUCAUACUGUCAGAUGGCAAUACAUAGAUGGAUAGAAUUUUGCUGUUUGAUCAAAGCUGUGCCAUCGGAAACUUGUUUU